Dromaius novaehollandiae (emu) is the source of this 8432-nucleotide long non-coding RNA. RefSeq lists it as uncharacterized. The transcript is spliced from 3 exons. The record is from RefSeq and is a predicted model, not a curated record. NCBI's taxonomy places the organism in Eukaryota, Metazoa, Chordata, Aves, Casuariiformes, Dromaiidae.
CCGCUCCGGCUCCCACAGUCUUGGGCGAGCAGCGGCGGCGGCGCUGGGUGUCUGGGGCCCCCGGGCCGCCCCCUCCCCGGCGCGGGGCUCCCGCUCGCCGCAGCCCGGAGGCGGCGGGGCGGUGGCGGCAGCGAGCGCUGCCCCGGCCGGGCGGCCCGGCCCCAGGACUGCAGUGUUCAAUUUUGUCUACUGAAAGGUGUAAAGCAAACAUCUCUGAAUCAGGACUUUUCCCCAAAUGCACCGCUAAAGUGAACUUUCUGUGUUUGACCAGGCAUUGAGACCUCCGACGCCCCAUAAUUCAAGAAUCCCUUGACCUGGCUAAACCCCCUCUGCCCCCAUAGAUCAAAUAAAGCUUCCUCAUGCCAAGCUCAAAGUUGAAGGAUUAGCAGGGAGUCCAAGACAAACAUGAAGAGAUGGAGAAAUCACAUUUUCUAUUCGAGCCCCUGAAGGAUUCUUUUUCUAGUGCUGGAGAAGUGUAAGGCAGCUACUGAAAAGCAAGAGGAAAACCAAACAAAAGCCUUCAGAAGCGCAUUUCUGAUACAAAAAAGCCACCUGAAACAACAGUUUCUACAGACUACCCGCUGAGAUUCCUCCUCAACUUUCGUUAUGUCAAGGUCACGAUGUACAGAGGACAACCUGGAAAUUCUCAGGAACAAGAACAUCUAAAUCAAACUUUUGCAAGCAAAAAAUGCUUUUAAAGGUAUUCUGAAGAAGAGACAGAUGGAAUUUUCAAAACUAUUUCCAAGCAGCCUGUUGGUUACUGAAGCAAUUUCCAACCUUUUUCAAAAUCCAUUUUUGGUACAACAGUCCAGCAGCUGCUGCUGUGCUUGGUUCUUAUCUUGGAAAACCAAAAUAAUCCAUAGAAGCUACAAGAUGAACACGAGCUUCCGAGUAAGAUUACACAAGGACAAUGGUUAUAAGCUCAGUCUAUCAGACUGCCGCCGAAAAGCAGUUCGUGUUAAGCAGCUCCCUUGUUUUCCUUCGAGGACUCAAGGCAACUGACAGUUGCAACUGGAGAACCCCUGAGAGGGAAAAAAGACAUGAAACACCCAGGUGUUAUGCACCAAAUAAGUGUCUCAGUCCUCCUAUCGCUUGUGCUCUAUUCGGCUAGGCAUUACCUUGUCUUUCAAACAUUUCUAGAAUCAGUACUUCAACUCCAAGAAUCAGCUGGAAAAAUCAUCAUACCUCCUUCUGGCUCAUAAGAUCACCACCAUCUUUUACUCACACAUCUUUACUGCAUUAAAAAUUACACCUCUGAAGAAAAACUCAAGACGUUUUGAUCCUCCACUGCUCAGACUCUUACUGCUGUCAGGGUUAAAUACUCUUCCCCUACCCCAACCAGAGCAAAACUUUGCUAAGUCACUGAUGUCCCUCUUCUAGAUCUUGUUAUAACAGAAAACCGCUUUGCAGUCCACUGAACUUCUCACCUCCCACGUAAAUACUUUCUCUAUACCUAACCAAAAAGCAGCUCAUCUCAUUAGUUGCUUUCUAACCAGUACCACCCCCUUUCACAGGGAAAAACUGCCUCAGUGCUCUCUGGCGCUGCUCAAAUAUGUGAGCACUUCUGCAAACCUGGGCUCUGCCAAAAUACUGUAACCAUUAGCAGCAGCACAAGGUUCCUGUAAAGAGCUGCCAGCUACAGUCCAAGCAGCAGCUAAUUCAAAGACUAAAGGAGUGCUCAGCCUGGGAGCAAGUUAUGCCACAAAUCUCAACCUACCGGAGCCUUGAGAACAACUCCGGAAAAGAUGACAUUGUCUCCGUUCGCUCCUAGAGCUCCAAAGGAGAAGGACAUGGGCCUCUUUCUGCCACUGCAGUGCUACUGGUCGUGACAGCAAAAGCAGUCAGCCACAAGCCUUUCCUCAGCUUGGAACAGAAUACCCUCCUCAAACAGAGGAGGACGGGCAGAAAGGGCGAGACAAGAGGCGGCUCCAAAGGCCGGUACAAUUCUGUUCCGGAAAUCUUCCAGGUUUAAAAGCCUCUCCAGAGUGAGAUGUUUGCCACACUGAUGACACGUGCACGCAAAGAACCAACUAGCCAAGCAAAGCAACCAACCAACCCCACAAAACAAAGGAAAAUGAAAAAAGCACAUCCCCUCACCUGGAUUCCAGCAGUCAGGUUAGACGCACAGCUCAGAUCGCUGCCACGCUGUCCUGGAGGCAAACAGGGACCACGUAAGCACUCUCCGAAAGGCACUCGUCAGUCACUGCCACAAAGGCAUCACAGACUGACACGAGCUACCGAGCCAAAAACACCAACCAUCCUAAACCGAGAGAGGACAGAGCAGCUUUCAGAGCCUUCUCUUCAGUUAAACCUGAGUCCAUAAAACUUAAGUCGGCCUUAAAAUACCUUGGACUUCCAGCACAGUUAUGUUUAAUGCACAGAUCCCUCCACAGAAAAAAUUUAAAGUCUAUUUAAAGUCUAAAGAGAUUUUAGGGGGUGAGGUGAAUGAAGCCUGUAUAAACACCAACCUCAUCUUGAGCUCACCAUUUCCAAGCCCAAAGGAAAGGGUCAAGGACUCAGUACCCUGCCUGCCUCCCCACCACCACCUCCAGGACAGCUACGGUACUGAUGCCAGCAGAAGGUCAGGAUGGCUUUCCGUUUACAGUGAAAAGCAAGACAUGCAGCUAACGAGUGCAGAACAAGUAAAGGCACUCUCGCAACAGGCAAGGGCAUCUCUCCCUCUUGCAGCAGGUCAUUUUUUUUUAAGUUCGUGGUAAAAGUCCAAGCGCCUGGUCUGCACCGGAUCUCUGAGACUACUCACAAACACCAGCUGUCCUGAGGUUAAAAACUAAGUCUCUUCUUUGCUGUAAAGAGAAGGUCCAACUUAUCACCGCAGGUUGUGAUUAGUCAGUGACAAUUUCUAGUCACCCACAAAGAGAAAAAGAGCAAGGGUUACCUCAGCCAGGAAUGCCGACCUGUUUAACUCCACAGCUGUCAACAGAUAGGACCUGAACGGGUUUAUAUCUGAAACACUACACAUGAAGUCCUCCGAGGUGUUCCGAGCUAUACCAUGGAGGUUUCAUUGAAAACUUGAUAAAAGACGGGGAAAAAAAACUGGAGUGAUGGAAGGAGAGGGCUGAGACAAACAGUUUGUUGACUGUUUUGUAACAUCACUGAUGCUGGUUUGAGCAGCAUCCCCUCCCCACCCACCGGUGCAAUCUACUAUCCUUGUUUACAUGUACCAGCCAUUAAUGAAGGCAAGAGCACGGGAACAAACUGCUGCUGCUUUGUAACCCCUCGCAGAAAUAGUUUGGGUGCCUUUUCCACCAGCUUUCUGCACACCAUGUCUGAAAAGCGUGCAAGAGAAGGAAUUGGGAACAGACUAUCCUGUCUCCAAAAGAGUUGAGAGAGUUAAAAUCCUGCCUGUUCCUCUCUUGUUCAAAAACUUCCGUGCAAAAUUACUUGAACACGUAAUCUAAAAGGCGGAAACCACAACAGGCUGCAGAGGCAGCAUAAGGAAGGUUCAGCUGGACACCUACAGCCUAUAGUCUGUUCUCUGGUCUAGAGCAUUUUAAAUGAUUCUUCAGUCAUAUUACAAAAAUCUAUUCUCUCUAUUGCAACUAAAACAGCACCGAAAAACCUAUUCUGGUUUUGCAUAAGGAAAAUCUAUUCUGCCCUAAAAAAGAAGCACUGUUUUGACUGCUGAAAUACCACCUGAAUGCUCAAAGCCCUUUUGAAGCCAAUGAAAACAGACAGGCUUCCCAACUCGUUACGCAGCCAUCAUCUGCUUUUCAUGACAACCUUGUUGGACCAGAAGCAAUACCAUACACGGCACAUUUUUUUUUUCAAAACAUGCUUUUGGCUGAAGAGCAAUCCUAGAGCGGUUCCUCUCUGUCAAUAAAAAAUGGAGAAGAAACCACUGCAAAAACAACAGCUGCAUAACACAGCUGCUCUACUAAAAGUUGCAGUCUUUGUAAAAGGCUGGACGUGAGCUGCGCGAUAUACGCGCCUGUGGAAUACAGCAUCAGUAAAACAGAUUAAAGUGCAUGAUUUUUUUAUUUCGAGGGCUCUUUGUUUACAUGGAGGCAGCUGAAUUGAGAGUCUCAGGUCAUCUCACACCAAGUUUUUUGGCACGUGCAGGACAUGAGCUACCACCUGGUCCAGCUUUCUUUCCUCCUUUCCCUCCUCCCACAAUCAGCUCAGGAAUGGGAAGACAGCAUCGUCCUGGCAAGGAAAUGUGAAUCCUUCCAUUCCUCACACAGACAUAAGUUGGUACAGGGUUCUGAACAAAUGGAUUACGGAGUCCAAAAUAUUUCUGUAGACAUAAGGCUUACAAGGCAAACUUGCACCUCUGAAAAACGGUGCAAUCCCUUUUACUGCUGGGGCACUUCUGCCAACGAAAUGCCCUUUUGCACAUGCAUUAGGAAACUACUAUUUUGGGGGUUUUCUUGUGCUUUUUGUUGUUUUUCUUUUUAAGCCAAACCAUAUCCCAAAAAGACAGGCCAAAGAAAAACCUUCAGUAGUCAUUUCCUGAUUGCACAUUAACAGCUUUUAACUUUACCACCACCCAAAGUUGCACCUGUUAAGUGUACGUGCCUUCAGCUGCGACAAGAAGGCGAGUGCAUUCACAUUGAAGACACAAUUCAUUUGUGAAAUUUCAGCCAUGCAAUUUGAUCUGUUAAUUUAAGAACUGAAGCAGUUGGCAGAAGUAAUGAGACAACCCAAGGUGUUCACAGAGGGGUUACCUGUGAGACGGUGCUUUAACGUAGGGUGGAAUCGCAGAGGGAGAAACAGUCCCAUGGAGGCAGGUUUUUCCUGGUCCCUGAAGCCCAAGAGAAAGCCUGCAGGAAACACCACCAACCUGGGCUGCUCGUCACGGCAAACCGCUGACAUUCCUGCGGGGAAACUCGUCUGCUGAAAAUACACUUUUGGUUCACAUCCAGCUAUUAAAUCAUUGCUGUGCCAGCAUUACCCCGACGAUACAGAAGGAUUUGCAGUUCUAACCAGCUGCGGACUCCAGCAGCACAGAUCGAGCAGGUACCGUACUCACUGCCACUACGUGAGUGAGCUCAGCUCCCGCAGCAUCCCGAGAUUGCUGCUUUCCAGGCUCGGAGCGGAGCCCGGCAGACGCGGGCCGGGACCUGCCGGUGCGCGGGGACCUCUGUGCUCACCGCUGGGCCCCGCAGAGCCGGCAGAAGCUUCGUCCUCUGCUCGCAGCCGCCCGGAGGCCUCUCCGCGCCGUUUCCUCCGUGCCGGACAGAGGCGGGAAGGAGCUGCCGUGCUCCGGCCAAAACCCCGCCGACGGCUCCCGGUCCCGGCCUGCACCACCACCGCCAGCUGCAGCCCCGGCCGGGCCGGGCAGGGCACAGGCAGCGGCGGGCAGGGCAGCACUGCCAGGCCGGGCACGCAGCACCUUGCGCCCUGGCAGCAGCCCCUCACCAGCAGCGCGUCCUGCUCGGCCUCCGCCGUCCGUCCAGAGCCGCUGCUCCGAGCGGGGAGCGCUCAGGUCGGCACCUGCCCUUCCGCCCCCGCCACGCUUUUUAAGGCCGGGCAGCCUGAUUCACUUCUCCACGCGCAGAGGCUCACCGGGCUUUUCACCUAGAAUAAAAUAAAAUAAAAGCAUGCGUUUAUGCUGCUUGGCCUCCCUCCUCGUGUUUCCAUCACAGGCUAGUUGUCAGGAGCAAAACCUGGUACUGGAGGACACAGCUCACACACCUGGGGGAGAAACAUAGCCAGGUUUUGGCUUUUCCUCUCCCAGCAUCCACAUCACACCCACAGAAAAACAGUAUUUGCUGCCUGUGUAGAAAACCUGGUGGAAAAUUGCAGUUUACAGAGCAUGCCUUGCUCCUGAUUUGGUCCUCUGACAGUCACUAACGUUUUCCUUUCACGUAAAACAAUGAACUUCCAUUGAGGAUGAAUUAGCAGCUGCCUGUUACCUUCUCCAGGGUUAAGUGUUCCUGUAUUAUACAAAGGCUGCAGCUGCAGUCCCUGUUUUCAAGGGCACUAAAAAAACCAGACCACCACCAUCUGCUUUUUCACCAUUUAAAAAAUAAGGGCCAAGUCAGGACUAGCUUCUCUUUGACAGCCUGUACCUCAGGCAUGUGAUCACCUCCAGAAAUUAGGUGCUUCUUCAGCCUAUCUGUAAAUCCACCUUCCUUCCGUCUGCACAGCCUAUGGGAAAGAGAGCACACCUCACGGCUCAGAAAGAUGCAGACUUCAGAGUACUCGUUUGGAAGCUGCACUGGGUUCAGGGCUGGGGGUAAUACUCCUGUUAAUUCAUUGAAGAAAAGGUUGAGGCCAAACCAGAGGACUUGGAGCAUUUAAAAAGCAAGAACAGCAGUGUUCUGCCACUGGGAGAGGACACAGCUACCUAGAGGCCUUGAUCUGCGAGAGCUCCUAACGGAAAAGAUUUUUGCAAUAAGGAUAGAUCACUGCAAAGCAGCACCUAGUGACGAAUGCUGCAAUGUCUCUGGGAUGUGAUUUCCAUGCCUGCUGCUUAGGUCCUUCAUCUAACUAGACAUAUUAUCUGCUCUUCUCACUGUAUACAUCAGUUUCCUUCCACAAAUACGUCAACAUGGCACCAUCAAGUGGACCCAGUACGCCCAUGUUUGCUUAGGCUGCAUAACCACAUUCAUUCUGCACUGAGUUCCUCUAGUCUAUCUAAAAAUAAAACUGUAUUUAUCGAUGAAGUACUCCAGCGUCUUACGAAAAGCCCUCUCCUUUUGUGUCACAGUUCACUCAGACUGUUUCAAGGGUUUAAUUCUCUCCCCUUCUCUGGUGCCUGGCAGACCCUGCUUUGCCUCACGCGGCAACGCUUCUUCGUUACCUGCAAUGCUGGCAGUGUUUUACCGUGACAUUUCAAAGGCUGCAGUUACAGCCUUUCCAGGGGAACUGAACCACAGGCUCUCAGUGAAGGGAGCCGUGGCUCAUAUGUCACGAAAUCCCGCAACCAAGAGAGAUGAACAGCUGUCUGAGGAAGGGGGGGAGGCAGGAGGGGCGUUUAGUUUAGGGCCAUCGUACCUGCGGCAGGGACUCUUCUCUGCGCCUCUCCACAGCGGACGAACCGGCAUCCACUUGUCGUCUGACCCGUCGUUCCUGGACUGCCUGGAUUAGUGUCUGCUGCUCGUUUUGGCUGCAGUCUGUUGGGAGAAAAAGUUAUUCAGGGUGGGAAAACUAGAAGCAACGAAAGCCACGACUCUGUCCUUGACAAGCUGCUCCGCUACUACUCUUUCUUUCUUUCGUCCUCUGGCUGUGGAAGGCAGCCCCUUCCCUUUGGAGCGCAGCUCCGGCUCGUGGCUGACACCCAUCCUCACCUCAGUCUCCGGGAUUUGGGGCUGCUGCUGGAAAAGAUUUUAUCCUUUGGCGGAUGCUGCGAGUACGCGCUUGCAACGUACCUUGUAUUUCCUUGCAGGAGCAUAAAACUGAAGAGGAAGACCACCCAUCACAUCAUCUCAGCAGCUCCACUUUCUCUGCCACAACAUAAAGAGCAACACUCGUAUUUUUUUUCCCACUUCAAAUGACAGCACAGCUUUAAGCCGUGUUCCUCCAUGUUUGCCAAAGCGUUUCCAAGUCUUAGGCGUCUGGUUUUUCAAAGAGCAGGUGAAAAGCUUAGCUCCCAGUGAAAUGCAUGAAGUCUGAAAAAGAGGUCAUCUCAGAAACCUUUUAUCUAACACAUCUUUAAAGAAGCUAUUUCUCUCCAUGUCUGGCAGCACCCGUUGCCAGUCGAGACAAGAAAAGAGCACUUGUGGGAAGGGGAUGCGCUGGUUCUGCUCAGCGGAGCAUCCGGAGAGGAGGACAGAGUCUCUCAGGAAGAGCCUGAAGCCUUGCCGUAAGGACACGGGACACAUCAAAUGGUGCACAACAUACAGACAGAGCCAUGAAUCCACCUGAUCUUCACUUUCUGACUUCUGAUCUAAGGAAAAUGCUAAACAAGGCAGGAUUUGCUAGGACCUUCCUGAGAGCAUCACAGACCCGAGGCGGACACCUUGGCUGGGCUGGGCCGGAGCCGACGAGCAGGGGGCGAAAACUCCCCAUUUCACGACAAACCUCUGCAGCCGCCCCAUCCAUCCUGUCAGCACAACGUUGGACUCUGCUUCGGGGAGCCCCUUCUCCAUCCUUCUUCAAAGGAAGGUGCGUUUCCUCCUUACCGGGGUUCUGCGAGAAAGAAGAGCUACACUGUAAAAAACCACUGCUAUCACUGCUAGAUGAAAACAACCGUGUUGUUUUAAAGGAAAUAAAGCACAGAACUCAACUGCCAAGUGAACUCCUUGGUGGUCAGCUGGAUCGGGCAAAGCUCCUUAUCCUUCAGGUAGUCCAAAAAAUUACAUACUCUGAUGCUUGACAAGGAGGUGGCAUGCUGAGCACAAAUGCCCUGGAUGCUGAGACAGGUAAAGCAGUGUUUCCAUUUCCAGCAACUUUUUGGGGGAACUCUUUUACACCUGAAAUAAAGAAACACAGACAAGUUCAUUAAAUACAACCCCUGGUACAUCUGA